AAUAGAAGCAUCUGUCGAAUGGAAACCGGUGCAAACCCGGUACGGUCCCGCCACUGUGAUUAGCGCAAGCUAUAAGUCAGGUCUUUUCGAUAAAUUGCUCGAUUAGCAUUCUGUCCCGAGGCU
This 123-nucleotide small RNA is filed under the name uncultured Levilactobacillus sp. The record is from RNAcentral. Lineage: Bacteria; Bacillati; Bacillota; Bacilli; Lactobacillales; Lactobacillaceae.